RNAcentral lists this ribosomal RNA (459 nucleotides) under uncultured bacterium. RNAcentral's name for it is "partial 16S ribosomal RNA". It matches the Rfam family "Bacterial small subunit ribosomal RNA", at positions 338 to 795 of the family's 1533-position model. The record is from RNAcentral.
CCUACGGGAGGCAGCAGUGAGGAAUAUUGGUCAAUGGGCGCAAGCCUGAACCAGCCAAGUCGCGUGAGGGAUGACGGUCCUAUGGAUUGUAAACCUCUUUUGUCGGGGAGCAAAGCGAACCACGUGUGGCUCAUUGAGAGUACCCGAAGAAAAAGCAUCGGCUAACUCCGUGCCAGCAGCCGCGGUAAUACGGAGGAUGCGAGCGUUAUCCGGAUUUAUUGGGUUUAAAGGGUGCGCAGGCGGAGGUGCAAGUCAGCGGUCAAAUUGCGGGGCUCAACCCCGUACUGCCGUUGAAACUGCAUCCCUUGAGUGCGCGAGAAGUAUGCGGAAUGCGUGGUGUAGCGGUGAAAUGCAUAGAUAUCACGCAGAACUCCGAUUGCGAAGGCAGCAUACCGGCGCGCAACUGACGCUCAUGCACGAAAGCGUGGGUAUCGAACAGGAUUAGAUACCCCAGUAGUC